This 292-nucleotide ribosomal RNA is filed under the name uncultured bacterium. RNAcentral describes it as "partial 16S ribosomal RNA". It matches the Rfam family "Bacterial small subunit ribosomal RNA", at positions 505 to 796 of the family's 1533-position model. The record is from RNAcentral.
GUGUCAGCAGCCGCGGUAAUACGUAGGGUGCGAGCGUUAAUCGGAAUUACUGGGCGUAAAGCGUGCGCAGGCGGUUUCGUAAGACAGAUGUGAAAUCCCCGGGCUUAACCUGGGAACUGCAUUUGUGACUGCGAGACUAGAGUGUAGCAGAGGGGGGUAGAAUUCCACGUGUAGCAGUGAAAUGCGUAGAGAUGUGGAGGAAUACCGAUGGCGAAGGCAGCCCCCUGGGCUAACACUGACGCUCAUGCACGAAAGCGUGGGGAGCAAACAGGAUUAGAAACCCCCGUAGUCC